UUUCCGUAGGUGAACCUGCGGAAGGAUCAUUACCGUGGGGGCCUCGCGGCCCCUACCGAGAUAGCACCCUUUGUCUUUUUGAGCACCGACUGUUUCCUCGGCGGGGACGCCCGCCAACGGGGACCAACCAAAACCUAAACCCGCAGUAUCAGCAGUGAACCGUACCCAAAAAAAAAUAGAAAAUCAAAACUUUCAACAACGGAUCUCUUGGUUCUGGCAUCGAUGAAGAACGCAGC
RNAcentral lists this unclassified non-coding RNA (236 nucleotides) under uncultured fungus. RNAcentral describes it as "sequence contains ITS1, 5.8S rRNA gene". The stretch from base 188 to 236 matches the Rfam family "5.8S ribosomal RNA", at positions 1 to 49 of the family's 154-position model. The record is from RNAcentral. Lineage: Eukaryota; Fungi.